Long non-coding RNA from Homo sapiens (human), 3933 nucleotides. RefSeq annotates it as LRRK1 antisense RNA 1. The record is from RefSeq and is a predicted model, not a curated record. The transcript has 4 exons. Lineage: Eukaryota; Metazoa; Chordata; Mammalia; Primates; Hominidae.
GGUUUCACCAUGUUGGCCAGGCUGGCCUCGAAUUCCUAGCCUCAAGUGAUCUACCCACCUCGGCCUCCCAAAGUGCCGGGAUUACAGGUGUGAGCCACCAUGCCCGACCAACAUACUUCUUUUAAAAUCUCCAUUUCUUUGUAAUAAGAACUCACUUUCUUUAGGUGGUUUAGCUGUUGAGUUUGGUGACUCUCUCUCGCUGUGGGUUUUCCUCAGCUGUUUGUAGUGUCUUCGUUAAGCGCUCAUCUUAGAGGGGGAGGUUUCCUGUUGACGCAUCUGUAAGUGAUGUAUCUAUUUACCCUCAGCAAUUGCAGGUGAGAGGCAAGAAUGCGUCGCCAGGUAGGCUGGGCCCGGGUGGUCUUCUGGAUGCAGGCCCUUAGCACCUAACGGUCACUUGCAGCCCUGUUCUCUCGCUUGUACCUGCUCCCACUGAACUGGAAGCAGCCACCAUUUCCAGAAUUUGGAGCUAUGGUUUCCUGAUUCUCACUAAUCCCAGCUGCUUCAUAACUUCUGGACCACUGAAAGUAUCCUGUUCUGGUUAUCUGUUGCUGAGUAAGGAAUCACUCUUAAAGUUUGUGCCAUCUCAUCCUCAUGUACUCAGCUGGUGUUCCACACAGAAACCCCCUGGGGCCAGCGUGCAUGAUGUAGGCUUGAGGUGGAGGCUGCCCUCCUGGCCUUGUCGGACACAGCCUGGAAGCGGGGCCCAGUCACAGCGACAGUCAUGGACUCCGAGGGUCCCCUGCCAGCUCUGUAGACCCUCUGCCUCCUAAGGCUCUCUGCGACUGCCGUGAUCUACAGUUGGGAGUGCUCCAGGGAGUUCUCAUGUGUGCUCCUCCACACGCAAGAGGCACUGCCUCUCGGGCGCCGAUGUAGAAUGGCUGGUGGGAAUGGCUCGGUCCACUCUGAAUGAUCUCUCUCUUCUUAAAACCUGAGCAUGGGUGCCCAUGGCCUGCCCUCGGCCUGUCCAGUAGGCAGGGUGGGCACAGCACAGCAGUGCCUGGCUGCCCUGUCUCCCUCCUCUCACUGAGUCCUCCUGCAGGUGCACACUAGUGAGCUGCCCCACCGUCCUUCAGACUGGAGGUGCCUGAGAGAAGGGGCAGGCACAGGGGGAUUGGAGGCCGUGCUAGUCAGGCUGGGUGAAGCAGCGGGGCUUGAGGAGGGCACCGCAGCCCUGUGAAGCUGAAUCAGGACCUGGGAGCCACCUAGGCCUGGACCCCACAAUGGAGACUGGGGAGUUAGGAGAUGGCUGUGGUCCCUGCUCAUCUCACUGGAUGCCCAAGUGAGAUGCUUAGGAGUUAAAUGGACAGAGCCUCCAGCUGGGGCCAAUGCUGAGAAGGCCUCUCCGGAGGGGGAAUUUGCUUUCUUUUGCAACAAGGGAAGCUUGAAUUCUGCCGUAAGGAUCUCCAUUCCUCACCAAGAAGUCUGGAGUCAUGCCACACACAGCUGGAUCAGCGCUGCCUUUUGGUCUGAUGUGACAGUGGUUAAACUUGUGUGACAAUGAGAAAUCAUGACAAACGACUUCCUUAAUGUCAAAGUUUCCUAACUUUUCAGGGAAGAGAAAAUAGGGCAACUGCAUCAUAUUGCGGACAGUGAACUCGGAUCUUUUAACUUCAUUCCUACACCAAAGUUGCUGAUUGAGGGAAAUGGACAGGAAUCGGCCUGACCCUUGGGUCUUGGGUAUAGACAGGACAGGGCUGUCUGCCGAGAAGUGAGGCAGGAGCCGAGCAGGGAUGUUUUGGAAUCGGCGAGGGUGUCUGAACACCAUCAGCUCUGCCUGCAUCUGCUCCUCAGGCUGUCUGCAAGUAGCACCGUGUCCUGGAGCAGCAUGUUAAAAAGCUGAGUUGGUUCAGGCUUUUGAAAAAUCAAAACAAGACAAACGUCCACCCCCGUGAUGAACAACAACUUUUUCCCAGGCUUGCAAGCGCUGCGGCCGGGUUGCCCUGGCAACGACACAUUUUGGAUCGGCCGCUUCCCUGGGCCUUCCUUUCCCAUGUGCACAAUGGGGAUGGGAGAAGGUCAAGGUCAUUUCCGGCUGCACAUUCUGGGAGGCAAACCCAUACCUCGGAGGCCUCUCUCCUGCCCUUUAGUCCCUGGCUGGCAUCUCAGCAGGGAGAAUAAAGGCGUCUGUGUUGUGGCUUCCUGGAGCCUCUUCCUUGGAAACAGAUAGUCUGAUAGGCAAUGAUGGCAGCUGCUGACUGCUUAUGGCCUGGCUGCUGCUGGCCAUGUGGGCCUCUGGAGCGGGGGGCCUUGUCAAGGCUCCCCAGACCCACUUCCACAGCCACAGGACCUGCCUGCAGUCUCUUUCCCUUUUCCUGGAAACUUCUGUCCCUUUGUCUACUCCCGAUGAGUCAGAGUAGCCGAUGGAGAGGAGUGCAGAGCCCAGGCCAGAAACAAGUGGCAAAGGCAAGGUGUGUCUCCUCUCUAAGGUCGCUAGGCCACAGCAGCAGUGGUUUUCGUUUGGGCCUGACAAGGAGCCGGUGCUGUAGUCACCCAUGACUCUGGAGGCCCUGUUCAUCCAUCAGGCCUGGAAACACCAGCAGGACUGGCCAAUCCGCCCCAGAGCUCAGCCAGCACGGACAGUCAGUCUUGGCCAGCAGCACCUUCCUCAGGCCUGAGAAGAAGAGGCCAGGUCUGCCUUGCACAAGCUGCAAACUUUGGUUCCCUGCACACCAGGCAGAGGGGGCUGCCCUGCCAGAGGCAGCUCCCACAUCCCCUGAGCCUGAGUCAUUACCUGCUAAAGAGGGGACAGCUCUUCAAAAGACCUGUGGCCUCCUGGGUCCCGGCAGCAUCCGUGAAAGUGAAAAGAGCAGAAUGUUGGUUGGCACAGUUUUCUGAAUCUCUCCCUGGGCCAUCUGUUCCAGUUACUGCUGUUUUCUAACAAAGCACCCCAAAACUUAGCGGCUUACCACAGCCAUCUUCCCAUACUCCUGGUUCUGCAGGUCUGGAAGUUGCACAGAGCACAGGAGGGCUGACUUGCUUCCAUCCUGUAAAGUCUGAGGCCUCCACUGCAAAGACUCCACAGCUGAGAGGGACCCAACAGCUGGAACCAUCUGAAGAUGUCAUCUCUCAUGUUUCCCCCACAUGAUGCUGGCUGUUGGUGCGACCUCAGCCCAGGCUGUUGGCCACAACAGCCUCUGCAUGUGGCUUGGGCUUCCUCAGAGCAUGGCGGCCUCAUCACAGUCAGACUUCUUGACUACAGGCUCAGGGCUCCAGAGGUCACCCUUCCUGCCAACAGUGUGAAGGACCCCAACCCUGACAGAGACCAGACCCUGGGAUCUGGAAUGUGUAUCCUGAGUGCAUUCUGCCACUGCCUCUUAGCCACCUUCCCUGAUGCUGUCUGGGAUGCAGGCAUUGCAUGCAGUUCACGUCGGAAGAUUCCACACUGCAAUCCAGAGACCAAAAGGAGCCCAUUGCGAUCUGGCUCUGGGGGACCCUGGGAUGAUAUCCCUACCCCCAGGGACAGGAACCAACCCCCGGGGACCUGGAGAGACUCUGUGCCCUGCAGGACCGAUGGGGGACUCCUCCCUGUAUGUACGUGUGCGUGGCCCUGCCUUGUUCUUGCCCCGGACCUGGCCUGGUGAAGGAGGCACGAGGAAGAUUGCAGUCAGGGACGCUCAGCCUGGGAGCUGACCCUCAGGUGAGGCCCUAAGGAAGUUCCCAGACCUCCCUGAACCUCAGUAUGCUCAUCUGUCCAGCAGCAACCCUGGGCCUUAAGUGAGAACAUCUAUGCGGAAGAGGCAGGUGCCAAUCAAGCCCUCUGUAAAGUUACCUCCCCUUUUCCCUUCUUCUCCUCUCACAGAGCUGAAGAAUAUUUUGCAAAGUUCAUUGUAAACAUUAAAAUAAUCUUGGGUGUUUAUCAUUCGUUAAACCUGUUGGGCUGACUUUAGGUCUACCGCUCUCAAAAAACCAAGAAUAAAUGGCACAGGGAGCUGA